AACGCGAAGAACCUUACCUGGGCUUGAACCGCACAGGACCAGCUUUAGAAAUAGAGCCUUCCCGCAAGGGACCUGUGUAGAGGUGCUGCAUGGCUGUCGUCAGCUCGUGCCGUGAGGUGUUGGGUUAAGUCCCGCAACGAGCGCAACCCUUACUCGUAGUUGCCACCCGCAAGGGGGAACUCUACGAGGACUGCUCCGGAUAACGGAGAGGAAGGUGGGGAUGAGGUCAAGUCAGCAUGGCCUUUAUGUCCAGGGCUACACACGUGUUACAAUGCGCGCUACAAAGUGUCGCGAACCCGCGAGGGGGAGCUAAUCGCAAAAAAGCGCGCUCAGUUCGGAUUGCAGUCUGCAACUCGACUGCAUGAAGCUGGAAUCGCUAGUAAUGGCGCAUCAGAUCGGCGCCGUGAAUACGUUCCCGGGUCUGUACACACCG
RNAcentral lists this ribosomal RNA (433 nucleotides) under uncultured bacterium. Its description in RNAcentral is "bacterial SSU rRNA". It matches the Rfam family "Bacterial small subunit ribosomal RNA", at positions 958 to 1392 of the family's 1533-position model. The record is from RNAcentral.